Molecule: ribosomal RNA, 497 nt
Filed under: uncultured bacterium
Lineage: Bacteria
Description: partial 16S ribosomal RNA
Rfam family: Bacterial small subunit ribosomal RNA
Source: RNAcentral
GAUGAACGCUGGCGGCGUGCCUAAUACAUGCAAGUCGAGCGAACAGACGAGGAGCUUGCUCCUCUGACGUUAGCGGCGGACGGGUGAGUAACACGUGGAUAACCUACCUAUAAGACUGGGAUAACUUCGGGAAACCGGAGCUAAUACCGGAUAAUAUAUUGAACCGCAUGGUUCAAUAGUGAAAGACGGUUUUGCUGUCACUUAUAGAUGGAUCCGCGCCGCAUUAGCUAGUUGGUAAGGUAACGGCUUACCAAGGCAACGAUGCGUAGCCGACCUGAGAGGGUGAUCGGCCACACUGGAACUGAGACACGGUCCAGACUCCUACGGGAGGCAGCAGUAGGGAAUCUUCCGCAAUGGGCGAAAGCUUGACGGAGCAACGCCGCGUGAGUGAAGAAGGUCUUCGGAUCGUAAAACUCUGUUAUUAGGGAAGAACAAAUGUGUGAGUAACUAUGCACGUCUUGACGGUACCUAAUCAGAAAGCCACGGCUAACUACGUG